RNAcentral lists this ribosomal RNA (253 nucleotides) under uncultured bacterium. Its description in RNAcentral is "partial 16S ribosomal RNA". It matches the Rfam family "Bacterial small subunit ribosomal RNA", at positions 524 to 776 of the family's 1533-position model. The record is from RNAcentral.
UACGGAGGGUGCAAGCGUUAUCCGGAUUCACUGGGGUUAAAGGGUGCGUAGGAGGGCAGGUAAGUCAGUGGUGAAAUCUCCGAGCUUAACUUGGAAACUGCCGUUGAUACUAUCUGCCUUGAAUAUUGUGGAGGUGAGCGGAAUAUGUCAUGUAGCGGUGAAAUGCUUAGAUAUGACAUAGAACACCAAUUGCGAAGGCAGCUCGCUACGCAUAUAUUGACUCUGAGGCACGAAAGCGUGGGGAUCAAACAGG